Molecule: long non-coding RNA, 1525 nt
Organism: Cyprinus carpio carpio
Lineage: Eukaryota; Metazoa; Chordata; Actinopteri; Cypriniformes; Cyprinidae
Source: Ensembl
UAGCAUGACGCCCCAGGCAGCUUGGGAGAAGGACACAGAGAUCAUUUGUCUAAAAUUUUAAUGAAAACUUUUGCUGAGGCAGAGAUUUUUUUUCUUUCUCUUCAGUCUCAACCCCCCCUCCCCGUACAGUCUUCACUACACCCCGGUGCCACCUCCCGUCUUCUCUUUCCCCCAUGGUGAAUUAACGCAGCUCGAUUUAAAAUUAGAUGACACAUCGCAAAUCGCUGCAUGCCAGGAUGCAAUAACAUGUAAAUUUCAAUUUGCAGGCUCUAAUAGAAGUGUGUGUCGUGGCCGUGCUGAAUAGGGAGGCUGCUGUGGUGGGCUGGGACAUGCCGUCUUCUACUCAUUGUGUGCGUGUCAAAGCCCAAGCUGGCCAGAGACUUCAUCUUGCACCAGAGUUUUUUCAUUCGGAUUGCUCUUCGACCAGCUCAGCGUGGGUUCAGAAUGAGGACGAAUCUGUGGAAAGGAAAACUGUGUGUGGACUGUGCACAGCCUUUGUCACGGGGCCGCAGUGUUCGGUUUGCUGAAAUACUCCAUGAUGUGGUUGCAACAGAAACCAGAAUUGUUGAUGCCCCAGUCAUCAGUCUCAGCUGACCCUGCUAACCUGGCUGCAGGGCCCACACUAACCUUCACCCAACACCAUCCUUUGUAAUGCACUGCCACUUUGCAUCACUAUAAUGGACUCAAGGAUCUUCUGACUUCAGUUUGACCUUUUCCUCUUGUACAGUAGGUAUAGAAGCAACCUGGUUAGGUGCUGAAGAUUUGUCUUGUUUUUGUUUUCAGAUUCAGAUGAGUAUAGCAGUCUUAGGCCAUGCAUUUUAGCAGUCUUUGUAGGUUCAGGUAAAGCAUAAAUUAUAUACUUUCCAUGAAUGUGGUGCAAAAUAAGGCUUGAAAGUUUUAUUUUUCUAUGACAGUAAAUAUAUUACAUAGGCCUAUAUACUUUUUUAAAAAACUUCAUAUUAGGCUUUUAGGCAAAUUUUUUGACUUGUCUAAAUUAAACUGAAUAAACAUCAAAAAUACAACAAAAAAAAAAACAUCCAAAGUAAAAUAUUAAAUAAAAUGUAAAAUAAAAUACCAGACUGGGUAACACUGUAUGAAGUAAUUAAAAAAAAAAUGUUUUAAAAAGAAGUCUAUAUGCUCUCCAAGGCAACAUUUGUUUGGUCAAAAGAGACAGUAAAAACAGUAAUAUAGUGAAAAUAUUGUUCAUAUUUACAAUAACUCUUUUCCAUUUUAUUGUAUUUUAAAGUGAAAAUGAAUUUAAUGAAUUUUCAGCAGCCAUUACUCCAGUCAUCAAUAAUAUUAAUAAUGCUGCUUAAUAUUGUUAUUGCAAUCUUGUUACCAAAAUUUGUUACAUGUGUAAAGCCAGUAUACAAAUAUGAUUUGUAAUUUUCUAGCAGUAAACAUAAAAUAAACAAACAAACAAACAAACAACAACAACAAAAAAAAAAAAAAAACAUCUUAAAUAAAAUAUAAAACAAUAUGCGAAAAAAUAUUGGUACAAGCAGCAUUGUUGCUUAUUUAGCCU